GUAGGUGGCAAGCGUUGUCCGGAAUUAUUGGGCGUAGAGCGCGCGCAGGUGGUUCUUUAAGUCUGAUGUGAAAGCCCCCGGCUCAACCGGGGAGGGUCAUUGGAAACUGGGGAACUUGAGUGCAGGAGAGGAAAGUGGAAUUCCACGUGUAGCGGUGAAAUGCGUAGAUAUGUUGAGGAACACCAGUGGCGAAGGCGACUUUCUGGCCUGUAACUGACACUGAGGCGCGAAAGCGUGGGGAGCAAACAGGGAUUAGAUACCCUGGUAGUCCACGCCGUAAACGAUGAGUGCUAAGUGUUGGGGGGGGUUUCCGCCCCCUCAGUGCUGCAGCUAACGCAUUAAGCACUCCGCCUGGGAGUACGGUCGCAAGACUG
Molecule: ribosomal RNA, 374 nt
Filed under: uncultured organism
Description: partial 16S ribosomal RNA
Rfam family: Bacterial small subunit ribosomal RNA
Source: RNAcentral